This 253-nucleotide ribosomal RNA is filed under the name uncultured bacterium. RNAcentral's name for it is "partial 16S ribosomal RNA". It matches the Rfam family "Bacterial small subunit ribosomal RNA", at positions 524 to 776 of the family's 1533-position model. The record is from RNAcentral.
UACGUAGGGUGCAAGCGUUAAUCGGAAUUACUGGGCGUAAAGCGUGCGCAGGCGGUUGUGUAAGACAGAUGUGAAAUCCCCGGGCUCAACCUGGGAAUUGCAUUUGUGACUGUACGGCUAGAGUGUGUCAGAGGGGGGUAGAAUUCCACGUGUAGCAGUGAAAUGCGUAGAGAUGUGGAGGAAUACCGAUGGCGAAGGCAGCCCCCUGGGAUAACACUGACGCUCAUGCACGAAAGCGUGGGGAGCAAACAGG